GACGCAGGAUGCAAGCGUUAUCCGGAUUCAUUGGGUUUAAAGGGCGCGUAGGCGGAUUGGUAAGUCAGUGGUGAAAUCUGUGGGCUUAACCCACAAACUGCCAUUGAUACUGCUGAUCUAGAGUACAGUUGCCGUUGGCGGAAUAUGACAUGUAGUGGUGAAAUACUUAGAUAUGUCAUAGAACACCGAUUGCGAAGGCAGCUAACGAAGCUGUAACUGACUCUGAGGCUCGAAAGUGCGGGGAUCAAACAGG
Molecule: ribosomal RNA, 253 nt
Filed under: uncultured bacterium
Lineage: Bacteria
Description: partial 16S ribosomal RNA
Rfam family: Bacterial small subunit ribosomal RNA
Source: RNAcentral